This 375-nucleotide long non-coding RNA is filed under the name Hordeum vulgare. RNAcentral's name for it is "long non-coding RNA (HVUL_LNC009325)". Lineage: Eukaryota; Viridiplantae; Streptophyta; Magnoliopsida; Poales; Poaceae. The record is from RNAcentral.
UGGCGAUAAAUAUGCAACUGAGUGACGCCUAGGUUACGCGAAUUAGCAUGAAAAUGAAAUCUACUGACAUGAUUAAAAGAGUGUAGGAGGUGAAGGUGGAUUCGUAUCUCACCCUCGGCUAUAGAGGAAGUAGUCAAACAACAACGGGAUCAUGGAACAAAAUCUUCAAUGGUGAUGACUCCAAGGAGAUGAAAUAGAACAAAGCCUAUAUAUUUUAUCGAGUGAAAAAAAUUUAGGUCAUCACAUCAAAGCAUUGACAGUUCAAACUAUGAAAAAAAUCAUAUUGUUAAUGACAUCUCCUCUUCUCUUCUUCUUCUUCUUCUUCUUCUUCUCCUCCUCCUCCUCCUCCUUCUUCUUCUUCUUCUUCUUCUUCUC